UCCACCGUCACGCUCCGUCG
This 20-nucleotide small nuclear RNA is filed under the name Arabidopsis thaliana (thale cress). RNAcentral's name for it is "snRNA_16004". The record is from RNAcentral. Lineage: Eukaryota; Viridiplantae; Streptophyta; Magnoliopsida; Brassicales; Brassicaceae.